RNAcentral lists this ribosomal RNA (427 nucleotides) under uncultured bacterium. RNAcentral's name for it is "partial 16S ribosomal RNA". It matches the Rfam family "Bacterial small subunit ribosomal RNA", at positions 354 to 796 of the family's 1533-position model. The record is from RNAcentral.
GUGGGGAAUAUUGCACAAUGGGCGAAAGCCUGAUGCAGCAACGCCGCGUGAGCGAUGAAGGCCUUUGGGUCGUAAAGCUCUGUCCUUGGGGAAGAAAACAAUGACGGUACCCUUGGAGGAAGCCCCGGCUAACUACGUGCCAGCAGCCGCGGUAAUACGUAGGGGGCAAGCGUUAUCCGGAAUUAUUGGGCGUAAAGAGUGCGUAGGUGGUCUUGUAAGCGCGGGGUGAAAGGCUAUGGCUUAACCAUGGUAAGCCUUGCGAACUGUAAGACUUGAGUGCAGGAGAGGAAAGCGGAAUUCCUAGUGUAGCGGUGAAAUGCGUAGAUAUUAGGAGGAACACCAGUGGCGAAGGCGGCUUUCUGGACUGUAACUGACACUGAGGCACGAAAGCGUGGGGAGCAAACAGGAUUAGAAACCCUUGUAGUCC